RNAcentral lists this ribosomal RNA (375 nucleotides) under uncultured organism. RNAcentral describes it as "partial 16S ribosomal RNA". It matches the Rfam family "Bacterial small subunit ribosomal RNA", at positions 527 to 897 of the family's 1533-position model. The record is from RNAcentral.
GAACCGCACAAACGUUAUUCGGAAUCACUGGGGCUUAAAGGGGUGCGUAGGCGGCGCUGUAAGUUGGAUGUGAAAUCCCACAGCUCAACUGUGGAACUGCGUUCAAUACUGCAGUGCUUGAGGGAGAUAGAGGAGAGCGGAACUACGGGUGGAGCGGUGAAAUGCGUUGAUAUCCGUAGGAACACCGGUGGCGAAAGCGGCUCUCUGGGUCUCUUCUGACGCUGAGGCACGAAAGCUAGGGUAGCGAACGGGAUUAGAUACCCCGGUAGUCCUAGCUGUAAACGAUGAGCACUGGGUUGGGGAGGUUCCCAUGCCUUCCUGGCCGAACUGAAAAAGUUAAGUGCUCCGCCUGGGGAGUAUGGUCGCAAAGGCUGA